This is a long non-coding RNA of Triticum aestivum (bread wheat), 968 nucleotides long. RefSeq lists it as uncharacterized. The record is from RefSeq and is a predicted model, not a curated record. NCBI's taxonomy places the organism in Eukaryota, Viridiplantae, Streptophyta, Magnoliopsida, Poales, Poaceae. The transcript is spliced from 2 exons.
CACGAUUCAAUCGAUUCAUAGAAACCUAGCCGCCGUCCCACAACUCACAGUUCCUCUUUUCUCUCCCACCAGGCCACCACGAACCCUAGCCGCCGCCCCUCGCUGUGGCGCGAUGUCGUGAGCCGUCAGUCAUGACCACCAGCGCACCGAGGUGCACCGCACGCCCCUGACCAAUGAAGACCGGCGCCCCGAGCUGCCGCCCUUACCGGUGAUGACCAGUCGACCACCAUCUCCGAUCGUCGUGCCCCGUGCGUCGCGCCGCCAAGCCCGACCCCUUGCGUUGCUCCACUCUCUGUGACGCAGCCAUCUGCCAACGGUGCUCCAUCUCCUACGAUAAUUGUAGCUGUUGGCUGCUGCAGUUCGUCACCACCUCUCGUCCUCUUCCAGGCUGGUUGACGGAUUGCCGGUUGCUGUUCUUCCGGUGCUCUACCUAGCAGCUGAAGAUGCUUUCUAUACUGGAAUAUGAACAUGAGGAGUUGAAUGAGAAAGAUGAUGCAUUUAUGAGUGUAGAGGCAGAGGCAGAUGCAGAAGUAGGAGAAGAAUCAGUCUGCAUUGCAUCAUCGAAAAUGAAGAUGCUGAAGCAAAAGUUGCCGAAGGUGCCAAUCCUGAAGCUGCUAUGUUGUCAAGUACUAAGCACUCAUGGUGUUUGCUGCUUCUCGAUUCCGUGGGCUGAUGUUACUUGAUCUUAGUUCUGCUAUCAAAUACUCCCUCCGUUCCUAAAUAUAAGUCUUUGUAGAGAUUGCACUAGGUGGACUACAUACGGAGCAAAAUGAAUGAAUCUAAACUUAAAAUGCAUCUAUAUACAUCUGUAUGUGGUUUAUAGUGAAAUCUCUACAAAGACUUACAUUUAGGAAUGGAGGGAGUAUAAAUGAGUAUGCAUGCAAGUGUUACUUGUUUGAAUUUUUCUUAUGUACACAUGCGCCUCUAUACAAACAUUUGUUGUCUCUAUACACACACCCCUUUGUACA